This 486-nucleotide ribosomal RNA is filed under the name uncultured bacterium. Its description in RNAcentral is "bacterial SSU rRNA". It matches the Rfam family "Bacterial small subunit ribosomal RNA", at positions 30 to 507 of the family's 1533-position model. The record is from RNAcentral.
AUUGAACGCUGGCGGCAUGCCUUACACAUGCAAGUCGAACGGCAGCACGGGUGCUUGCACCUGGUGGCGAGUGGCGAACGGGUGAGUAAUACAUCGGAACGUACCUUAUCGUGGGGGAUAACGCAGCGAAAGCUGCGCUAAUACCGCAUACGCCCUGAGGGGGAAAGCGGGGGACCGUAAGGCCUCGCGCGAUUAGAGCGGCCGAUAUCUGAUUAGCUUGUUGGUGGGGUAAAAGCCCACCAAGGCGACGAUCAGUAGCUGGUCUGAGAGGACGAUCAGCCACGCUGGGACUGAGACACGGCCCAGACUCCUACGGGAGGCAGCAGUGGGGAAUUUUGGACAAUGGGGGCAACCCUGAUCCAGCAAUGCCGCGUGAGUGAAGAAGGCCUUCGGGGUUGUAAAGCUCUUUUGUCAGGGAAGAAACAGCAGCUCUAACACAGUCUGCGAAUGACGGUACCUGAAGAAUAAGCACCGGCUAACUACGUG